Molecule: ribosomal RNA, 468 nt
Filed under: uncultured bacterium
Lineage: Bacteria
Description: partial 16S ribosomal RNA
Rfam family: Bacterial small subunit ribosomal RNA
Source: RNAcentral
GACGAACGCUGGCGGCGUGCUUAACACAUGCAGGUCGAACGGAAAGGCCCUGCUUUUGUGGGGUGCUCGAGUGGCGAACGGGUGAGUAACACGUGAGUAACCUGCCCUUGACUUUGGGAUAACUUCAGGAAACUGGGGCUAAUACCGGAUAGGAGCUCCUGCUGCAUGGUGGGGGUUGGAAAGUUUCGGCGGUUGGGGAUGGACUCGCGGCUUAUCAGCUUGUUGGUGGGGUAGUGGCUUACCAAGGCUUUGACGGGUAGCCGGCCUGAGAGGGUGACCGGCCACAUUGGGACUGAGAUACGGCCCAGACUCCUACGGGAGGCAGCAGUGGGGAAUAUUGCACAAUGGGCGGAAGCCUGAUGCAGCAACGCCGCGUGCGGGAUGACGGCCUUCGGGUUGUAAACCGCUUUCGCCUGUGACGAAGCGUGAGUGACGGUAAUGGGUAAAGAAGCUCCGGCUAACUACGUG